This is a long non-coding RNA of Dama dama (fallow deer), 5202 nucleotides long. RefSeq lists it as uncharacterized. The record is from RefSeq and is a predicted model, not a curated record. The transcript has 3 exons. NCBI's taxonomy places the organism in Eukaryota, Metazoa, Chordata, Mammalia, Artiodactyla, Cervidae.
CUGGAGGUGACACUGGCCCCUCCCUGCAUCCACUGGACUCUCCCCCACCCCAGGCCUCCUGGCUCGGGCUCUGACUUUAGCUCUUGUGGGUCUCCCUGCUCAGCUGUCACCCUCCCACCGUCUCUGACUUGCACACAAGACUGGAAGGACCAAGCAAGCAGGCACCUGGAGCUUGGCAGAGAGGGGGGCGUGCAUCUCCAAUGAGAUGCUCCAGAAAUAGAGCUGGGAUGGGAGAGGAAGCAAACAGGCUCCUGGAGGAACCAGAGGGAGGACGGUGAGACAGAGGAGCAGAGAGGGGCCCAGGGCCUCUCUUCUUCCCACACGGAAGGCACAGAACCCAGAAGAAAGGUGCAAGCAGGAUACCAGCCCAGCAACUAACCACAGAUGAGGAAGCAGCCACAGAGAACCCUGGCGGGGCUUCUGGUCCCAGGGCCACACAUGGGGCUGUACACGCCAGCAGGCCAUGUUUCCUUCCAGGCCCACAAGGUGCUCCAACUUCCUGCAAGACCGUGAACGCCAACAGCAUGACACGUGGGCAGCGUUUCUGCUGACUUCUAAUGUAGCUUUCAGGACCAAAGACGGAAGAGAUUCUGCCUUGUCUGGGAGAACACAGCCUGGGCCACUAACAGCAGCUGACCGUCCACCUGGUUUGCCUAAUCUUGCCAGCAAAGGAGCCUGGUCCCAAGGACGAGACACUCCUUUCGCAAGCCUGUUCUUCCCAGGGAGCUGGUGAAGCUUCUCUUGGAAGAUCAACCACUUUGGAGCCACUGACUUCAGAGACGGCCUCCCUGCUACAAUCUAGGAAAGAGUAUCAGAGGUCUGCCUGUGUUCUGAGGAUUUGAAAAGAGAAGUUGCCUGACCCCCUAUGGGUCCCCAGGGAUGGAAAGGAAGUCGUGGUGGAAGCUAGAACUUGUCCCAUCUGGCCUCCCUGGGCAGACUAACACAUGGGAAGCAGCUCUGCCUGGGACCUGAAGGCAUCAGGAGCUCCCCAUCUCAUCCUUCAUUCAAAAGGCUGAAGGUGUCAGGAGCUCAGCAUGGAGGGAUGGACGUUCUCCUCUACAAGAAUAGCAGCAGCCUGGGCAGGGUGUUGGUCAGUGCAUUCCCAUGCCACCUCUGUGUCCCAGGGGCAUCUGCUGGCCUGUGAAGUGAGAAGUCCUUCCGGUUAAGGAGACCCAAGUCCUCUGCCAACUUGGGUGUACCAGCACCAAGCACUGCUCCCUCUUUGACUCUGUAAAGGAGAGCUUCGAGGAGCUGGUAGGACUUCCUGCUGGUAGGCACAUGGGCACUGGAACUGAAGAAAGAAGCAAAAGUGCCAGAUGAUGUGCCCUCAAGAUUGUGGAGCAGGUGCUACCACUUUCAUAACUACUGGUCAACCAGCAAAGAUGUGGUUAGUAUUUGAACAGCAGUGGCUGCCAACAGUUUGGAGAGACCUACCUUGUGAGGUCUCUCCGGGUCUUAUGAGGCAGUUGAAGAUGGCAAGCCCAUAGCAUGGGUCUCUAUUGUCUAUACCUUUAGGUGGUGAAAACCUGCUUACCAGCCUAGUCCCACAGUGAGACUGCAGGCCCUUGACGCAGAGGUUUGAACCCCUCCUGGUUCACUGCUUGGCACAAUUCAGGUGUCCAUAAAGUUGCUUUAUUGGUGCCAGUCUCCUUUUCUCCUAGAUAGAGGAGUUUAUAGUAGCCCAGAAUUGAUCUCUCAUAGCCGAAAAAUCAGACACGCAAUGCUUUACUCUUGGGAACCUGUUUUGAAGUAGGUAGUGUUUUAUUUUUCAAAUUCUUCUCUUUUAACUCUCUUAUACUUGGUGAUUUAGAUACCUCAUAGACACUGAAAAUUAGAGUGAAGAUACUUCAUUGACCUUUUUAUUCAUGGGUGUAGAGGUUAUAAGUACUCCAUGUUCUCACAGUGACUUUCAAAAAAAUACCAGAAAGAAUACCAUUUAUCAAAGUCCACCAGGUUUGCUAUUGAUAAACUCAGCAAAUUUACAAAUCACAGCAAAACUGUCAUGUUAAUACCACAGUGGUCCCUGCUUCCAAAGACCACACACACACACAUGUAUUUCAUGACACCUAAAUCUAAAUCAGUGAAGGCUGAUCUCUUUGAGAGAGACAGAAAGUAAUGGGAUUUGGAAAGGCAGAAACUCAGCUUACCUGUGUUGGGACUUGGGGACUUGUCACCUGGCUGGGAAGAUGUGACCCUACCUCAGUGCCCUUCUUUCCUGGAGCUCAGUAGGAAGAAUGUGAGUGAGCAGUCACACCUGGAACCUUAUACCUGCAAACCCCAUGAUCAUUAUCUCAGGGCAGCAAGAGGGUCACCUGCAUGAUCCAAAGCACACCUGGCCAGAUCUCAAUGGACUUCUCUGUACCACUGUCCAAGUCUCACUCAGCUUUCUGCUGCUGUGUUUGCCUUCAGGCCAAAGGUCACCUUAGGCUGCUUCCUCCCUCUGACUGCCUGCUGGCUCCAAACACAAAUGGAUUAUUUUAUCAACUGUCUGGCAACUCUUUAUCUACUCACACAAACUCAAAAAGGCUUUGUUUCUUCCACCUUUUGCUUAGAAGCAUCUGAAGUUCUUAAGUAAACUGGAGAUUUUUUUUUUUUGGCUUCCUAUUUAAUGUCAACCUUUGGGCUGUAUGGACAGACACAGCCUCACCAGCCAUGAACCAGCAAACCCUACUCCAAGUAUACACACGAAAGAAUUGAAAGCAGGGUCUCAAAAAGACCUGUACACCAAUGUCACAGCAGCUUUAUUCACAGUAGCUAAAACAUGGAAGCAAACCAAGUAUCCACUGAUAGAGGAAUGGAUAAGCAGACUCUGGUGUGUACUGGAAUAUAAUUCAGCCAUAAAAAGGAAGGAAAUUCUGCCAUCUGCUACAGCAUGGAUGAACCUUGAGGACACUGCGCUAAGUGAAAUAAGCCAGUCACAAAAAGACAAAUACUGUAUGAUUCCACUUCUAGGAGGUACUCACAGGGUAGACAAAUUUCUAGAGACAGAAAGUUGAAUGGUGAUUGCCAGAGCCAGUGGGAAGUGGGGGGUGGAGAGUUAGGGUUUAAUGGGUAUAGAGCUUCAGUUUUACAAGAUGAAAAGAAUUACAGAGAUACAUAGUGGUCGUGGCUGCAAAAUGUUAUGAAUGUACUUAAUACUACUGAAUGGUACACUUAAAAUGGUUAAAAAUGAUAAAUUUUGUUAUGUGUAGUUUACCACAAUAAACUUUUUUGAAAAAAAAGAGAUGAUUUAGAUAGCCUUUUCACAUUUGGGGGUAACUGUAAUAAAAUUUCUUUUUCAACAAAACUAUAAAAAUGCACAUCAAAAAACAACAAUAAGAAAUACCAGGCAUUGACCACCACCUCAUAUUAAGCACUCAGCAAAGCCUCCCGGACUCUGGGGAGCUAGGCUGGCUACUGAGAAUCCCCUUGGACCUGUUAGAAUUCAGAUUCCAGGUUUCAUCUGCUGGGAUUCCACUUCAAUGGAAUGUGGCAACAGCAAUCUGUCUUUUUAAGGUUUUCCUGAAGAGAAUUCUGAUUUGCAAUCAGUACUUUAUCUAGAUGAUUCCAGAAGUAGAAUGAUAGUUUAGUAAUUUCCUUAAUUAUUCUUUCAAGUUAAUCAGCAAACAUGUGUCAAGCAGGUAGGACACAAAGGCAGUGGCCAGUGCUAGGAAAACAGAGGGCAAAUAAUAAUAUAAGCUACUUAUUGAGCGCUCACUAGGCACAGAAGUGAAAUAACUUUUAAAGAUCCUCACAGCUAGUAAAUCUGACUCCAGAGCCUGCACUGUUUACCCCUAGAAGACAGUUCCUACCUUCAGCAAGCCUUGUGAGGUAGAGGUGUCAUUGAACUUACCAUAAUUAGAGGCAGAAUGAAACAAGUCUUAAAUUGAGAUGUGAAGACAAGUCCUAGGGUAGGAGCCAUAUCUGGGACCAGAGUUUGGACUCCAGAGAUUUUUUUUACCAGUGAAAAGACUGUGAAAUAUCCCAGCCUAUUCUGGAAUGGAGUCGCAGAGAAUCAGCCCCUCUGACCACGAGACAGAUCCACAGAGUUUUUUCUAACGGGUCUUUCUUUAAGACAUGGUCCCAAACUACAGCCCAGGGACCAAGGGAGAAAGCUAGCUAUUUCCACUUUUCAGUUUCUAAAACCUCUGGAUUUUGUGAUGUGCUCAGGGUGGGAGUUGUAUCAGACAGGGAAGUGGUCAGAGGAAAAACUGCAGAUUCUGGGUUUUCUUUCCACGUGGUGCCUGCAACCGACUCACCCAGAGGCUGUGAUUCAGGGUCAGAGACAGCUCUCUGUCAAGGUGGGACCUAACAGCAGGAAGAUGACCCUGCUGGAGGUGCCUAAGCAGAUAUUAUUUAGUCUGAAUUAAGGCUUCAGAGGUUGAAGAUCAUUCCUAACUCAGAAGAAGUUCUUCUAUGUUGGCAGAGACACGGUAUUAACCCCGCAGUGACUGCGUGUCUUCAAAGAGCCACAAAGGCUCUGUGGCUCCAAAGAAACAAACUGGUUAAAAAAAAAAAGAGGCAGUGUAAGAGUCUAUUUUGAGGAGGUGUGAAAUGCUCUAUGGGGGCUUCUUUUUUCUCUCUCUCUCUUUUUUUUGUUCUAAUCCUAAAGAUUAGCUAUUAGAGAACUGCUCCAACCUAAACAUUUAUUUUGGCUUUCAUUAAUAUUUAGAAUUUAUGAUACUAGUAUAUUUUAUUGUAUCCUCUUUCUCUUUCCCUUUCAAUUUUUUUUUGGCUGCGCUAGGCCUUCGUUGCUUGACGCAGGCUUUCCCCAGUUGUGUCAAUCGGGGGCUACUCUCUGUUGCAGUGCUUGAGCUCCUCUUGUAGCAGAACACAGGCUCUAGGUACGUGGGCUUCAGUAGUUACAGCAUACAGGUUCAGUAGUUGUGGUGCCCGGGCUUAGCUGCUCCUCAGCAUGUGGAAUCUUCGCUGACCAGGGAUCGAACCUCUGUCCACCGCAUUGGGAGGUGGAUUCCCCACCACUGUGCCACCAGGGAAGUCCUGCCUUAAGUUUUAAGUUCCCUACCUUAACAAGGCUAAAUGCUAAAUGUGUACAAUUAACUUGAAGCAAAGAGAGACUUGAGAUUUGAAAAUAGAAAUUCUGAUUGUAAAUGUCUUUUUUCCCAUUACUUUGGCGGCUAUUUCCAUGUACAUGUAAGCACAAUGCCUAAGUUAUAUUUCUUUCCAGAUAAGGAACAUGGAUGAAAUACAACUGCCCAAAUC